UUGCUGUGUUUGUUCUUCGUGGGCUGAAUCUGAUUCUCCCCUGGCUGCCAAAAAGCAGGAAUAGCAGCUUGAAAUACUGGAACCAAAGAAGAGCAAACUUUGAGGAGUUUCUCAUGAUGACAAAUUCUGGUCUUCAGCACCUUCCCCACAGAAGUCCCAGGAUUUUAUCCUGAAGUGCUGCUUUUGCAGAGACUUUCUGGCCUGGUUUGUACAUGCCAGGAUCCUCACAUGCUCAGGGGAGACCAUCAGUGCUCUGCAGUAUAAAGAAUGUUUUCUUCCCCCUGUGUCCAGCUGGAUUCCUGACUGUCAUCAUUCAUGGCAGAAAUCAAUAAUGGACCCUGGGAAGAUGAAUAUUUGUGAAAGAAAAGAUGAUAUCUAACAGCAAUAAAUCUUUUGUGGGAUUCAUAUGUCUUCUUCAGUUUCCAGUACAGAAAUGAUUAAG
Serinus canaria (Common canary) is the source of this 442-nucleotide long non-coding RNA. RefSeq lists it as uncharacterized. NCBI's taxonomy places the organism in Eukaryota, Metazoa, Chordata, Aves, Passeriformes, Fringillidae. The transcript is spliced from 4 exons. The record is from RefSeq and is a predicted model, not a curated record.